AUGCCCCUCUGUGGGGGAUAGCCGCUUGAAAAAGCGAUUAAUACCCCAUAGGAAGCUUUAUCUAUGAUUUAGCUUUUAAGGUCUUCGGGCGCUGAGGGAUUGGGAUAUGCUCUAUUAGCUAGUUGGCGGGAUAAAAGCCCACCAAGGCAAUGAUAGAUAGCUGGUCUUAGAGGAUGAACAGCCACAAUAGGAUUGAGAUACGGCCCAUAUUCCUACGGGAAGCAGCAGUAGGGAAUCUUCCACAAUGGACGAAAGUCUGAUGGAGCAAUACCAU
Molecule: ribosomal RNA, 274 nt
Filed under: Mycoplasma haemofelis
Lineage: Bacteria; Bacillati; Mycoplasmatota; Mollicutes; Mycoplasmatales; Mycoplasmataceae
Description: partial 16S ribosomal RNA
Rfam family: Bacterial small subunit ribosomal RNA
Source: RNAcentral